This 73-nucleotide transfer RNA is filed under the name Ailuropoda melanoleuca (giant panda). It matches the Rfam family "tRNA". Rfam says of the family: Transfer RNA (tRNA) molecules are approximately 80 nucleotides in length. Their secondary structure includes four short double-helical elements and three loops (D, anti-codon, and T loops). Lineage: Eukaryota; Metazoa; Chordata; Mammalia; Carnivora; Ursidae. The record is from Rfam by way of RNAcentral.
CCCCAGCUGGCUCAGUUGGUAGAGCGUUUGGCUCUUGACCUCGGGGUUGUGAGUUCGAGCCCCAUGCUGGGUG